RNAcentral lists this ribosomal RNA (227 nucleotides) under uncultured crenarchaeote. RNAcentral's name for it is "partial 16S ribosomal RNA". It matches the Rfam family "Archaeal small subunit ribosomal RNA", at positions 694 to 920 of the family's 1478-position model. The record is from RNAcentral. Lineage: Archaea; Thermoproteati; Thermoproteota.
ACGGUGAGGGAUGAAAGCUGGGGGAGCAAACCGGAUUAGAUACCCGGGUAGUCCCAGCUGUAAACGAUGCAAACUCGAUGAUGCGUUGGCUUGUUGCUAGCGCAGUGUCGCAGGGAAGCCGUUAAGUUUGCCGCCUGGGAAGUACGUACGCAAGUAUGAAACUUAAAGGAAUUGGCGGGGGAGCACCACAAGGGGUGAAGCCUGCGGUUCAAUUGGAGUCAACGCCU